RNAcentral lists this ribosomal RNA (497 nucleotides) under uncultured bacterium. Its description in RNAcentral is "partial 16S ribosomal RNA". It matches the Rfam family "Bacterial small subunit ribosomal RNA", at positions 28 to 507 of the family's 1533-position model. The record is from RNAcentral.
GACGAACGCUGGCGGCGUGCCUAAUACAUGCAAGUUGAGCGCUGAAGGUUGGUACUUGUACCAACUGGAUGAGCAGCGAACGGGUGAGUAACGCGUGGGGAAUCUGCCUUUGAGCGGGGGACAACAUUUGGAAACGAAUGCUAAUACCGCAUAAAAACUUUAAACACAAGUUUUAAGUUUGAAAGAUGCAAUUGCAUCACUCAAAGAUGAUCCCGCGUUGUAUUAGCUAGUUGGUGAGGUAAAGGCUCACCAAGGCGAGGAUACAUAGCCGACCUGAGAGGGUGAUCGGCCACAUUGGGACUGAGACACGGCCCAAACUCCUACGGGAGGCAGCAGUAGGGAAUCUUCGGCAAUGGACGAAAGUCUGACCGAGCAACGCCGCGUGAGUGAAGAAGGGUUUCGGAUCGUAAAACUCUGUUGGUAGAGAAGAACGUUGGUGAGAGUGGAAAGCUCAUCAAGUGACGGUAACUACCCAGAAAGGGACGGCUAACUACGUG